This 236-nucleotide small nuclear RNA is filed under the name Castor canadensis (American beaver). RNAcentral describes it as "7SK RNA (ENSCCNG00000010006.1)". It matches the Rfam family "7SK RNA". Rfam says of the family: 7SK was discovered as an abundant small nuclear RNA in the mid-70s but a possible function has only recently been suggested. Lineage: Eukaryota; Metazoa; Chordata; Mammalia; Rodentia; Castoridae. The record is from Rfam by way of RNAcentral.
GAAUGUGAGACCAAUGGAGCUACAAUAUCUGUCAUGGUUUUUCAGUUGAACUGGCUGGCUAGGCAGGUGUCCUAUUUAUCCCUCCUCACUCCAUGUGCAUCCAUCCUGAAGCUGUGCCCUGGAUGGAAGAGGAUGGCAUUCCCCAAUAGAGGAGGAUAUUUCUUGGGUCAAGGGUAAGAACCUCCAAACAAGUUCUCAAGGCCUGCAAUAUUUGGUCCUGGCUGUGGCCUGGAAUC